Molecule: long non-coding RNA, 167 nt
Organism: Protobothrops mucrosquamatus (brown spotted pit viper)
Lineage: Eukaryota; Metazoa; Chordata; Lepidosauria; Squamata; Viperidae
Exons: 3
Source: RefSeq, a predicted model, not a curated record
GGAAAAUGGCUUUUCCAUCUACUUUACUUACUAGUGAUUAUCCCAUUAAUGCUGAUGUGUAUGUGCUCCAGGAAAAGUAAUCGUGUAAGGAAUUGUUUAUAUCCUACAAUACCCCAACCUAAAGUGACUCCAAUUUUUAAGAUGAGUCCUGGAAUAACAGAAGUGAA